Molecule: ribosomal RNA, 406 nt
Filed under: uncultured bacterium
Lineage: Bacteria
Description: partial 16S ribosomal RNA
Rfam family: Bacterial small subunit ribosomal RNA
Source: RNAcentral
CUUGCACGCUGGCGGCAGGCCCAACACAUGCCCGUCGAACCAGUUUCGGCCGGGUGAGCAAUGUCUUGUAAACUGCCUGACCGCGGGGGCUAACUACUGGAAACGGUAGCUAAUCCCGUAUACCAUCGCAUGUGCCCAGAUGCGAUUAGCUAGUAGGUGGGGUAACGGCUCACCUAGGCGACGAUCCCUAGCUGGUCUGAGAGGAUGACCAGCAACACGGGAAAGGAGACAGGGUACAGACUCCUACGUGGGGAGUCAGAGGGGAGUAUUGGAGAAUGGGAGGUAGCCGAAGGCAACGAUGCCGGGGGAAUGAAGAAUGCCUGCGGGUUGGAAAGUACAUUGAGAGGGGAGGCGUUAAGCGCAGGAGAAGCACCAGCUAACUCCGUGCCAGCAGCCGCGGUAAUUG